GAUGAACGCUAGCUACAGGCUUAACACAUGCAAGUCGAGGGGAAACGAUAUUGGAAGCUUGCUUCCGAUAGGCGUCGACCGGCGCACGGGUGAGCAACGCGUAUCCAACCUGCCCAUCACUUGGGGAUAACCUUGCGAAAGUAAGACUAAUACCCAAUGAUAUCUCUAGAAGACAUCUGAAGGAGAUUAAAGAUUCAUCGGUGAUGGAUGGGGAUGCGUCUGAUUAGCUUGUUGGCGGGGUAACGGCCCACCAAGGCGACGAUCAGUAGGGGUUCUGAGGGGAAGGUCCCCCACAUUAGGACUGAGACACGGUCCAAACUCCUACGGGAGGCAGCAGUGAGGAAUAUUGGUAAAUGGGCGAGAGCCUGAACCAGCCAAGUAGCGUGCAGGAUGACGGCCCUAUGGGUUGUAAACUGCUUUUAUAAGGGAAUAAAGUGAGUCUCGUGAGACUUUUUGCAUGUACCUUAUGAAUAAGGACCGGCUAAUUCCGUGCCAGCCGCCGCCGUAA
This 508-nucleotide ribosomal RNA is filed under the name uncultured bacterium. Its description in RNAcentral is "partial 16S ribosomal RNA". It matches the Rfam family "Bacterial small subunit ribosomal RNA", at positions 28 to 523 of the family's 1533-position model. The record is from RNAcentral.